Molecule: transfer RNA, 90 nt
Filed under: subsurface metagenome
Description: tRNA-Ser
Rfam family: tRNA
About the family: Transfer RNA (tRNA) molecules are approximately 80 nucleotides in length. Their secondary structure includes four short double-helical elements and three loops (D, anti-codon, and T loops).
Source: RNAcentral
GGAGAGGUGUCCGAGUGGACGAAGGAGUACGCCUGGAAAGCGUAUGAACGGGAAACCGUUCCGUGGGUUCGAAUCCCACCCUCUCCGCCA